ACCUGGCCUGACUCUGGUUCCCGACUCGUGGUUCUGAGCUCCAGUUUGUCUCCUGGGGUUCUGACUCUCGACUCCAGUCUUGUGAUUUUGGACUCUGGCGCUGACCUCUAGGUGGGAGUGAUGGAGAGGAGCAGCAAAGUAAUGAGAUUUCCAGCACAGGGGUUGUAAACUCAAAAUCCUGCACUAGAAGAUGAUGUUUCUUAGGGGGCAAGAUGUUACAGGGGAUGCAAAGUUCCUAUUGGAGAAAAUGUGGAUGCUACACACCAUUGUUGUCGGACUGUCAGUUAUUCACUGGGUUUGGAAAGAUGAAUUAUUGAACAAAGCUGGCAUUUUGGAGCUCUGCUGUGGGAUCCUGCAGGAGGCUGUGCUCAGAGCAGCCAGGUGUCAUUUUCAGCAGAGCUCAGAGCUUCCUGCAUCUCUUUCAUUCAACACCUCGAGGCCAUGUACCCAGCUGCACAUUCUCCUCAAAUGUCCAGAAGUGCAAGAGGACCAGGGCCUAACCAGAGACAAGGCACGACUAGUGGGGGCAGGACAUAAGGAAGGAGAUGGGCAGCGCAGUGGUGAUGGCGGGAGGAACACCGGUUGCAUAUAUCAGUUGCGGCUUCAGUUUGGAGGUUUGUGGUUUCGUUUGAGUUUUCAGGGCAAGAUAAAUGAAC
Mauremys reevesii (Reeves's turtle) is the source of this 656-nucleotide long non-coding RNA. RefSeq lists it as uncharacterized. NCBI's taxonomy places the organism in Eukaryota, Metazoa, Chordata, Testudines, Geoemydidae. The record is from RefSeq and is a predicted model, not a curated record. The transcript has 3 exons.